GCGCAGGAAAAGAAACCAACAGGGAUUGCCCCAGUAACGGCGAGUGAAGCGGCAACAGCUCAAAUUUGAAAUCUGGCUUCGGCCCGAGUUGUAAUUUGCAGAGGAAGCUUUAGGCGCGGCACCAUCUGAGUCCCCUGGAACGGGGCGCCACAGAGGGUGAGAGCCCCGUAUAGAUGGACGCCUAGCCUGUGUAAAGCUCCUUCGACGAGUCGAGUAGUUUGGGAAUGCUGCUCAAAAUGGGAGGUAAAUUUCUUCUAAAGCUAAAUACCGGCCAGAGACCGAUAGCGCACAAGUAGAGUGAUCGAAAGAUGAAAAGCACUUUGAAAAGAGGGUUAAAUAGCACGUGAAAUUGUUGAAAGGGAAGCGCUUGUGACCAGACUUGCGCCGGGCGGAUCAUCCGGUGUUCUCACCGGUGCACUCCGCCCGGCUCAGGCCAGCAUCGGUUCUCGUGGGGGGAUAAAGGCACCGGGAACGUAGCUCCUCCGGGAGUGUUAUAGCCCGGGGCGUAAUGCCCUCGCGGGGACCGAGGACCGCGCAUCUGCAAGGAUGCUGGCGUAAUGGUCAUCAGCGACCCGUCUUGAAACACGGACCAAGGAGUCAAGGUUUUGUGCGAGUGUUUGGGUGUAAAACCCGCACGCGUAAUGAAAGUGAACGUAGGUGAGAGCUUCGGCGCAUCAUCGACCGAUCCUGAUGUUCUCGGAUGGAUUUGA
RNAcentral lists this ribosomal RNA (710 nucleotides) under uncultured Zopfiella. RNAcentral's name for it is "eukaryotic LSU rRNA". It matches the Rfam family "Eukaryotic large subunit ribosomal RNA", at positions 50 to 793 of the family's 3401-position model. The record is from RNAcentral. Lineage: Eukaryota; Fungi; Ascomycota; Sordariomycetes; Sordariales; Chaetomiaceae.